Molecule: transfer RNA, 65 nt
Filed under: Spirometra erinaceieuropaei
Lineage: Eukaryota; Metazoa; Platyhelminthes; Cestoda; Diphyllobothriidea; Diphyllobothriidae
Also listed under: 5 other names
Description: tRNA-Glu
Source: RNAcentral
UCUAUCUUGUUGUAUUUGUGGGCAUAACAGCUUUUCGUGCUGUAGGAGGUAUUUACCAGGUAGGG